AGCACUGGAUCCUUAGUCAUCAGGGGGAACAAGGCUGACAGCAGAGGUUGAUGCCUGCAGAGAGAAAACAGUUACCAGCUGAUGCUUCAAACAGCAGCUGCAGUAUCCUCAGAUUCACUGACUCCCACUCAAAGACCUUGCCCGAAUCUGUUCAACAUGCAGAAGGCAGCACAUGUGCAUCCAUGGAGAAGCCUACUGUAGGCAGAGAAAAAGCUGGCCACUGGUGUGAGGUUUUAACCCCACUGAAACCAACAAGGAAGGAGAAUUAAAAUCAAAAUAUGUCACCUCCACAUCUUCCUGAUGACUGAAGAGCCCCAAGUGGUAUUUCGGAAAAAAAGAUAUCAUGAAGAUGAGCUGAUUUGAUUCUGCAGACGCAUAUGCUUAUCUCCUCUGAUUUUCCGGGAAACUAUUAAAAGUGCCGGAAGCUAUUAUAGGUGUACUCCAGCUAAAGUACUGAAAUUAUGUGAUCUGGAAAAAAACUUACACCUUAAGAAAGAUUUAAUGUUUUCCUUUCAGACCUAAGUGCAGCAUGUUCCUAUCAUAGUGAUUUGUUCUAGGAGUUAAUAAUUAAUGGAGUAAUAAAAAAUUUGAAAUAGCAGAUAGGAGGCUAUAAUAAUACUACAGAUGGCAUUCGUGUGCACUAUUAGCUCACAAAGGGUAAGAAAUAUACAAUUUUGAAUACAGAUCAUUCUCCAAGUAAAAGACAGCAGUUUAGAGGAUCCUUUUGCUACCUUUUUCACAAGUCAGCUAGAAGAGCUCUGGUAAGUAGACACCUGAUUAUUCUCCUCCAUCCAGCCUGCCGUGUAUGGUAUUAUAUUGCCUGCCCCAUCAGACAUCUGGUUAGCACUCUGGUCUGACCAUCGCCAUGGUAACAGGGAAUAAAACCCGUUUCUCUGGCAGUGCUGCCCAGCAGCGUUAGGUAACACACAUCUUGCUCGGUGCAGGGGCGAGUGCUGCGGCAGCCAGCACAAAACCCUCAUCACCCUACACAGAUCCUGCUUCUCCCUCCAUAGCUCCAGGAACAUCAGUUAGUAUUGACUGGGACCGACAGAGAAGCUUCUGACAACAACCCCUUUGAGGAGCAUGGAUGCCACCACUCAAAUUUUUGCAGACGUUUCUAUAUGAUAACCACUAUUUAAUCUGUGUUUGUUCUGUUGCUCUGUGACCUUGUUAUAGAUCUUGCACCUCUCCAGCUCCAGCCCCCUGAGAGACAGUUAGGAGUCUGUUCUAGCUGAAGGUGUCUCUGCUCAUUGCAGGGGAGUUGGACUAGAUGACCUUGCAAGGUCCCUUCCAACGCAAACUGUUCUAUGAUUCUAUGACUCUAAGUGGUGAGAUGAGACCUCUCUCCAGCACACUGGCUGUCGGCAGUGCUGUGCUGGACGAGACAGCAUCCUCUUGAACUAAGCUGGGUUCAUACCCUGGGAAGUGUUUCCUUUUUGCCUCUUACUAAUGGUGACUGAGGACCAUGACCAAAAUCUAUUCCUUUUGCUGAGAAGAUUUUUAACUCCUCCAAAACUUUGUAGGUUGAGCACAGACAUUUUCCUCUUCCACAUCCAAUUAUCCAGAUUGCUUUGAUGAAAAUUUAUUUGAAGAAUCAGAGAAUCAUUUCAGUUGGAAGAGAUCCUCAGGAUCCAUGAGUCCAGCCAUAAACUAACUCUAGCAAUAAACCAUAUCCCUAAGAACCUUGUCUAAACACCUUUUACACACCUUCAGGGAUGGUGACUCCACCACUUCCCUGGGCAGCCUGUUCCAAUGCCAGACAACCCUUUCUGUGAAGAAUUUUUUCCGAAUAUCCAAUCUAAACCUCCCCUGGCACAACUUGAGGCCAUUUCCUCUUGUCCUGUCACUUGUUAUUUGAGACUUGCUACUUAUAUUUUGAACCCACUUUUCUAGUAUUUCCAAGCUAUACAAGAAUUUACCUUUGCCAACCCCACUGCAUAGGACUGGUGCAUGGCUAACACUGGAAUAAUGUUUGUGUUUAUUGUAACUUAUCAGAAACAUAAGUAGUUUUUAAAAUUACCAUUUUAAAAAAUAUAGAUUCAAUAAAAACUGUAUAGGUUCAAUAAAAACAUUGCAGGCAAUUGAGAAGUUUUACUGAAAAUAUUCCCUUGUUUAUAACCGAAAUAAAAUAUUUGUUUAUCAGUAGUGUACUGUCUUAAUUAUGUAUGGUCUUUAAUAUGGUAACUACAAGUCUUUAAUUAAAUAAUUAGAUCUGAAAAUAUUCACCGCCUCCUCCAAACAAGCUAACCUGAAACAAACAAAAAAAGCAUGGAAUUCCAACUAUUAAGAUAUUUCUACAUAAAACAAUCUGUUGGUGUGGAUGUACUUUGUAUUGGGAUUUAAUUGAAAUUCAGUAGCAUUGAUAAGUUAUUUUUGUAUUAGAAACAUUCACAGUGAAAUUCUGCUUUUAAAUAUCAGCUGCUUAUUUCCACCAUCCCCUCCAUAGAUGUGCACACACACAUGCAUAUGUAUAUAAAUUAGCAAUGACCACACAUACAUAACAUCAUCACCCUACACAUGCAGCUGUAAUAUCUGGAUAUGAUGUGUUUUUUUCCAAACAGACAUACAUUUACUUCAGAUGCAAAAAAGUUUGGGUAUGUCUGUUGGUUUACCUUUUUUUUUUUUUUUUCGACCCACCAGGAGCUCCUCUGUUACCCCAGUUGUGGUAUCUGCAGCUCCCAUACAUGUGGUAUAUUUUGGGAUUUUUCUUAUCUUGGGAGCUAUAAGUCCCAACAACUUGUUGAAACUUAGAAUUUUGUUGUAAAUAUAAAAGUUAGAAUAUGAAGGUCCUUAAAUCUCUCUUAUCCUAGAAAUACAGAGACACAGAAUUAUUUUUUUCCUGUUAUCUAAUCUGGACCUUCCGUUCUGCAGUUUAUCCCCAUUAUUACUUCUUCUGUACUCUAUCCCUUCACAGAAGACUUGUAUGCCUAUGAAUAUUAUCACUAUUUUUUGUUAAUUGGUUGGUUGUUUUUGUUGGUUUUGCAUUCCCACUCCCUUCUGCUGGGCAGUGCCCAGUAGCUGUGUGAUGUUUCUAAGCAGAGGUACCUGUAGCAAUGUCAGUCAGCUAAAAUGGUGCUGAAUAAGAUUCCUCUUUUGCGACAUUUCUCUUUCUAUCCCUUACAGUCUAGCCUCAUGUCAUUUUCAAAUUGAUUAGUGUAUUUUCCAUUUUGUAAGAUUAAUAAAGAGUAGCAAUAAACACAGAAUGGAUAGUAUCUUCAUAUAUGCCCUACGCUUUGUGAUCACUGCUGUAAAUCCUGAUUUCCAACUGGAUUUGUCUUCCACAAAACAGCUGGAACAUUUCCCUUGCUGGCAUAAGAGAAUACCGUGAGAUGAUGUCAGAAACUUCUGCUUUUUUCAUUAUAAUGAAUGAUCAUCAUCUACAAUAAAAUAAGAUACAAUUCACUGCUUUUAAUACUUUUAACAGGUUUAAUAUUUGUGCCAUCUGUGAUGUCAAUUUCCUGAUAUUGUUGGCUCAUUUGAAAUAUAUAUACAUAUAUCAUCAUUGUACUUUAGUGUGUUCCCAGAAAGCUGAUAUAUUUUGGAAGCCCAGGACAGAAUGGAUAGAGUGAAAGAGAACAUCUUGUAAGAAACUGAAUUUUAAGUGUCAUUACAGUACACAUUGA
Columba livia (rock pigeon) is the source of this 3623-nucleotide long non-coding RNA. RefSeq lists it as uncharacterized. Lineage: Eukaryota; Metazoa; Chordata; Aves; Columbiformes; Columbidae. The record is from RefSeq and is a predicted model, not a curated record. The transcript is spliced from 3 exons.